GGAGGUGGUGGACACGGAAGUAUGGGCACGUAUGGAGGUGGUGGACAUGGAAGUAUGGGCAUGCAAGGAGGUGGAAUGACAG
This is a long non-coding RNA of Protobothrops mucrosquamatus (brown spotted pit viper), 82 nucleotides long. RefSeq lists it as uncharacterized. The record is from RefSeq and is a predicted model, not a curated record. The transcript is spliced from 3 exons. Lineage: Eukaryota; Metazoa; Chordata; Lepidosauria; Squamata; Viperidae.